UAAAUGUUCUUUGCCUCUCUAGUUUCCUAUUACUUGGCUUCUUCCUAGAAAAGGUUCCAAGAAUUUUUGAAGUACAACGUGAACAAGGGAGAUUUUAAUCGGUAAAGGGAGAUGGGCAGAUUUUGUCUUUCUCGGGAAAGCCAGCACCUAUAGCUCAACUCAAGACUCAGUGAGUGUCUUCACCUCCCUGAUCCAUUCCCAACAAGCAGUUCCGGUUUCUGAACCAGCAUAUGCAAACAAGGGCACUUACUGGCUUACUGGAAGGGAGGUGUCCGGGCUGGGCCUCCAGAUUUCGUCAGGUGCACUGUCUCCCAGGAGAGCUGGUGGCACCUGUCGAGCCAGCAGCCAAGGCCAGAAGACAAGCCCAGCAUUUCAAGGUCCACAGGGCCUUUGGCCUUUAUUGAGUUUUCAGUUGAAGCAGGACACAUUUAAGAAAUGCCAAGGAGGAAACAAUGUUGAUGUAUAGCUGCCAAGCCAAGGGAAGUGCAGUGAAAGAACAAUAUGAAAUAGAAAAGGUCAGCUACCUCGUCGUGCAAAGUGAUGAUGAGGCAGGACAGGCGCCGGGAGCACAGCCUCAGAUCUCAGGAGCCCUGGGUUUCCACCCCAGCUUCUGACCCCAACAGCUUCUACUUCCCUGAGAACAAGAUAAAGAUAGCACAGAGUCCGGGAUGAAUGAACGAAUGACCCCAAAUCAAGGUUUUUCUGGCCAUGGUUCUGUUCACGAUACUGGAAACACCAGUUUAUUGCAUGUGGACGCCUGGCCCUUGGACACCAAAUUCAAAAAAUCUUUGAAUGCCAAUGGUUGAGCACAGUUGAAGUUUGGAGAUUUGGGGUGAGAAGCUCAUGUCAGUACAAAGGCAAAUUGCUCUCUUCUCUCCUCCGGCCCACCUGCAAUUGUGCUGGCACCUGGGGCACGUGGGACACGUGCUUGAUCGAGGUUAGGUGAGUCCCUUUAGAAAACUUUGUUUUCAAUUUCCUCCCCAAAUUUUAAAGUAAAACCGAGAAUCAGACAAUCCACUUCCUACAAACCUGAACAGACAGGACUUCUGAAGACACUGAUUAGAAGCACUUCAGUUGACAAAUGUUUAUUCUCGUCCAUAGCUAUGUCCAGGGCAGCUCUCUUCUUGACUCCUUUAUCUGUUCCAGAGCAUAAGAGAAGUCAGACGUACACAACCUUUGAGUUGUAAAGUCACCUGGAAGGUGCAUCUAAAAGACCCCCUGCCCCACCAUAUGUAUUUCCAGGGUGUUAAAGAAUCUGUGUUCACUCCCUCAGCCACUGCCCCUGCAUCUGCACAGAGCAGCCCCCUAGAUAUCAAGGCAGAACUUCCUAAAAUGAAGUUGAGUAGCUCAGGCUGGGAUGGUCACCUUUGCUUUGGAGUCUAGAACCAAAUGAAAUAAGCUCCUUCCCACGUGCCAGGCUCUCUGCUAGGUUGCUUUCCUGCCCAUUCCUGCCUCUUCUAGUAAAAACAACAAUAACAAAGGAAGCUCCUGAAGAGGUUCAUGGUUUAUUCUAGGUCAUCCAGCAGAGUCAAGUGCUAACCCCCACCAGGCUCGAGUUCAGUGGUCAGUCCACUGUCUCUCAGCUCCCCAAGAGGCUACAGAUUGCUACAGAUACAGAUAAGUAUCUUUGGAUACCUACUGUGGCUCCUAAGGACUAUUAAAAAUGCUGUGAUUCUGCCCAGGCUGGUGUGGAUCAAUGGAAUGAAUGCCAGCCUGUGAACUGAGG
Phyllostomus discolor (pale spear-nosed bat) is the source of this 1726-nucleotide long non-coding RNA. RefSeq lists it as uncharacterized. The record is from RefSeq and is a predicted model, not a curated record. The transcript is spliced from 3 exons. NCBI's taxonomy places the organism in Eukaryota, Metazoa, Chordata, Mammalia, Chiroptera, Phyllostomidae.